CGCCGGAACUCCCUCCUCCGGCCACCAAUCCGGGCAAGCUUGGUAUGGUUUUGUAGCCCUCCAACCCAGCAGCCUUGCCCUAAAAGGACUCACUCCCUCUUGAGCUAGGUAAGGAGAAAUUUGAGGUGGAAGUUUUAUGGUGUUUUUGAUGUUUUUAGUCGAUUGCCCUAGUUAGGCUUGGAAUUGGUGUUUGUGCUAGUUAUGAAAGUUGUAGAGCAUGAUGAGAGGAUUAUUCUGUCAAAAUUUCAUAGGUUUUGGAGGUCGCCGGAAUUGGCCUCCGGCCGCCGCCGGUUAGGAGUAUUUUUAGGGUUUUAAGUGUGGAAUAUUAAGAGGAGUAUAUUGAUAUGAUUUAUGGAAUUUUUGGAUGAGAUUUGGAUAGGUUUGUGAAUUUCCGAAGUUUGGUAUUUUUGGCGGUUAAUUAAUGUAGAAUCCGGCCGUAGGAUUUAAGUCGUAUUUUGGAGAGGUUGUAUUUACGACUGUUGAGUAUGAUAUUUAAGUUCGGAUCGUUCCGAUUUAAGAAUAUCGAAGUUAGGCAAUGAUGAGCGUAUUUAUGGCUCUCGGGUAAUUUUGCCUAUUUUGAUUAAAUAUUGGAUUAUUGGUUGGGAAAUUAAUAUUAUAUUUGAAACAGGACGUGAGGAGGCUCGAGCAGACGAGACCCCAGAUCGACAUCAGGCUUAGGCCUAAUUUGUGAGUGGACNNNNNNNNNNNNNNNNNNNNUUUAUACACCCGUCUGUCCACCUUGAUGGCGUAGUGUAGCACCGCAUUAAGGCGUGACGUGAGCGUUGGACGCGAGCGUAGUAGCCCUAUAUAGACCUUUGAAUUUAUAUAGGGAGUAUGGACGAGUGUAAAUACAUACAUAUAUUAUAGAGUCUGAGAGGCUCGAUAUUUUAUGAGAUAAAAGUUUUAUCGCUUGCGGCAUGCAUUCGAUUUUUCCUUAGAAAUUAAUUUGGGGAAACAUAAUUAUUUUAUUUAUUAUUUUAUUUUUGUCCACUCACUCUAACGUUGUUAAAUGUUUUCUCCUGGGCCCUUCGUUUUAAAAUUGCCCAGUCUGCAGAGUUCGGGUUAGAUCUAGUAGGAGGCGAGGCAUAGUCACCCGCAUUUCUGCCAGUUUUCAUCAGUAGGUUACCUGUUCAACCUACUCGUGUUUUCUUGCUUCCGCUUGUAUUUAGUAGCUCUGAAUACUUUGGGAUUAUUGUAUAUUAUGUGAUGUUCGGAAGUGUUGAAUUAAGAGUGUAAUAUGAAAUUUUCGAGUUAGGGUUGUCCAUCUGCAAGGGAGAUUUUCUUAAUCUUUUCAGUAAAUUUUCCCUAGAGGUGGUCCCCGCACGACUUACUCCGGGUUUCAGGGUGAAAUUCGGGGUGGGUCGUGUCACUUUUGGUCUUGAGGGAGCCUAUGGUUUUGGGGUUUCCAAUUUUUGGACCAAAGACUUUGGGUAUGAGAGUUUUGUCCUAAUUUUUUAAUUUUUGACUCUACUACAGGACAACCUCACUAGAGCCUCAUGGAGUAACAAACUUUUUCUUAAUUUUAUUUUUGUUUUUAUAUAACCAAUGAAAUGAAAGCAUAGACGAGUACGUCAUUUUGGAACUUUUAAUUAACCAUAAGGCCCCUUAAGUGCCAUUUGUAUCUUCAAAAUUGUUCGUCUUUACAAAAAGUUAGUACAUAGUAGUAAUAAGACGACAAAUGGGCAUGUCCGAUUCAGGGUCGGACCUGAGAUUUAGAGACUUGAGGCGAGUUUUAUGAAUGGUGCCCUCUAAUGGGUCUAAGAUCCUCUUCCAAUUGAAUAUGUAGUGAAAGUACUAUGGACUCGAUUUUGAUGACUAAAAACUCGUAGUAAAUAAUAAAUAACACAAGAACACAGAGAAUUGUUUACUACAGUGUAAACCUCCUUAGAGGAAAAAUCACUGCGAGACCUUAUAGUAGUCCACACUUAAAACAACUUCACUAAGAAUAGAUAUAGAUUACACAAUCAUUCAAGUAGUGACAUACACCAUCGUCACUUUACAGGUAUUACAAACCAACUUGAUUUUCCAGAUUAUAAUCCUAUACUAAUUCUUGACUUCGUUGUUUUGAACUUCAACGUAGAGUCAAUCCAUCUGCAACAAACUUCAUACACUGAUCUAGAUCAUCAUAAGAGUUAGAUGCAAUGAUAUGAGACAAGAAACAUGAAAAGCUUUAACCAGAAAGGUGCGGCCUGCAAUGCAGCCACAAAACAAAUAAACCAAUGAAACCUAAUGAAAUAAAAACCGUAAUCGCUUGAAGGCUAUAGCAAGCAUAUAUAUAUAUAGGAGUAAGAGCUCCCCCUCAAUCAAAUCUCCAAUAGAAAUAUGAUUUGAGUUGAGUAAGGAAACUUGUUUUAAAACCUAUUCCAAAAUGCCAAUUUGUAUUCUAAACAACUUUGAAAGCAAGAUCAUUUUGAGAAUAAUAAAUCUGAAUUAAAAACAAAUUCCCUUAAAAGAAGAUGGCACAAAAUAACAAUACCUCUUAUUACCUCAAGUCGCAUCUUGAAGAUAGCAGGAGCGAUCGACUCCCCCUGCAAAUAUGCUUCUCCUAGUAUAGCUCGGAGAACUAGUUUGUUUCCUUCGUUUUGAUGUAAAUGCCAUAUACUUACAAUCUCCCCCUAUGGCAUUCAGAAUCAAACCUGGAUGUUUUGGACCUGUAGAACAAUACAUGCAUGAAAUAUAUAAUAACUCAAUCUCUCUCAACUCGAAGUUUGUGAACCAAGUUCCACAGAAGAAGAGUUCAAUGGUCACCGAGAUCAACAAGAAACAACUAAUCAGUUUAAGAACUUGGAAUCAAGAUCAUCAUCUCCCAAGUCUUAAGAUGAAACAAAAAUUUAUCAUUAACCAAACUUCAACAAUAUCCAAGGUUUGUGCACUAUGCACUUACAAGCCACAAAACUGAAAACAAGCAACCAAAUUGUUCAACAGAAACAAAGAACAUGAAGCAAGCAGAGUUUAACUAUGACAAAAACACACAAAACAUCCAAACAGCAGCUAGCAGUUCUCCCCCUUUGGAGUCUGAAUGCGAGCAUUAGGGCCUCCACACCACAUGAGCAUCAUCAUCUCCGUUUUGAGCAGGAGGAACAGGUUGAUGUUGCAUUGCUUAAAGAUCAAGAACAGAACCGGUAAGGGCACCAAGAGCAUGAUGGAUAGUGCGCAGCUCCAUAUGCAUUGCAUGAAAGCGGUUAGAUUGCUCACGUUGUUGAGCCCGGAUGACAAGUAAACAUUGAUAAAUCUUAUCAAGGGGAUCUUGAAGCAGAGUCGAUGGAGCAGGAGAGGCAGGACGACGAGAAGAGGAACCCUCAUUGAAGUAUGAAGGCUCCACUACGGACCUUCUCGGCCGGCGGCGACGAGAGAACUCAGAGGAGUUGUGCUGGCUAGAGUACAUGUUGUGACCGCGAGAAGACAUGAGAGAGAAAUCUGCACACUUAGACAAACACGUGAAACCUGUGGAUGGUAUAAAGAUGAAAAACAGCAGUCUCUUUUAUAUAGACAAUGCAACUAGGGUUUGCUUCUCCUAAGAGAACUGGAAAAGGAAAGAAAAUCUAAGACAAAAAAUCUUGAGAUUCCAAAACCGAUUUGAACAGAGAUUCGCACAUAAGCAGCGGUCCAAUACCAGAAGAGAUUAGAAAACUCAAAAAGGGAAAAGAAAAAUUGUGUCAAUCAGACACUUAUAACGUGUUGAGCCAAAUCUGCAUAAGAAUCUUUGCCGAAUAUAUGGUGAAGCAAGAGAGAUAGAAGACGAGACAUAAAGCUGUGUGAUGGACUCUAUCAACUUUAAUCAACUCAGACGAAACUUAGUAUCAAACCUUCAUAGGGUGUGUGUGUGCAAACAUGAAUAAAUCAUGGAUCAUGUAGAAACCAAAGCAUAGAACAUGAGAGUGACCGAGCUAAGCCAGCGAAUUACAAGUCACAAGUGAUCUUUCCUGAACAAAGUAGGAAUUUGAAUGAUGAACCAAGUAAGAUCUUUCAUUUGAUCAAUAACAGCUUAAGUUUGUGUUAGAAGACACAAUCCCAGUAACUCCCAGAGAACAAACUCUUAGGGUACUAAACAUAUCAAGGAUGUUCCAAGGAGAUAUCAAACUUGCUGUGUUUAUUUUCAUGGUUUCUUUUGCUGCUGUGAAUGUGAAACAUUGAGAGACUCUUUUGGCACGAAUUAUAAGUGUUUACCACAGCCAAAAUCCAGCUACUUCGAGGUAACCCAAUGCAAGCAGUUGCUCUUCCAACUUAGGAAUUGACAGUAAUUAAUUUUUUUUUUUUUUUUUGUAAAAUCACGGUAAUCUUAAACUUAGCUCAAAAAUACACAUCUCAAGACUACGAAUGAUUUAAAUGACACCACAGAUUAAUCACAGAUAUAAGUGAUAAGAAGUGAUAAUACUAAAUUAGACAUCAUUGAAAAGUCCAGAGGCGUCUCACAUGUACGAGUAUGUUAUUUCCUGCUUCAACAAUAUAACAACAAGGCCUUAAGAUCAGAAGCAAAACUCAACGCAGACAUAGUAUGAUUAAGGCAAUUUUUGGAUCCCAAGAGCAUUUCGUAACAACUGAAAUCUCUCAGUAUCAAGUGCUUUUGUGAAUAGAUCUGCUAAUUGUGAUUCAAUUGGGAUAAAUUGCAAAUCCAGUAUAUUUCUUUCUACCAAAUCUCUUAUAAAAUGAUAGCGCAGUUCAAUGUGUUUAGUCUUAGAAUGCAAUACAGGAUUUUUAGUAAUACUAAUGGCACUAGUAUUGUCACAAAAUAUGGUCAACUUACCUUGGCACAAACCAUAGUCUGUGAGCAUUUGUUUUAACCACAACAUUUGAGUACAACAAGAACUAGCUGCAACAUACUCAGCUUCAGUGGUGGAGAGAGAGAUGCAAUUUUGCUUCUUACUGUGCCAUGCUACCAGAUUAUUUCCUAUAAAGAAACAACCUCCUGAUGUACUUUUUCUAUCCUUCAGAUUUCCUCCCCAAUCUGCAUCUGAGAAUGCUGCAAUUUCUACAUUAGUUUCACAUGAAUAAAAAAGACCACAGUCUAAAGUAUCAGCAAUAUAACGAAUGAUUCUUUUAACAGCUUCCAAAUGUGAUUCUCGAGGGUCAGACUGAAAACGAGCACAUGCACCAACACUAAAAGAUAUGUCUGGUCCACUCGCAGUGAGAUAGAGCAGACUCUCAAUCAUGCUUCGAUACAAUGUUUGAUCGACUGUUCUUCCUUGUUUAUCCUCAGUAAGUUUCGUAGUGGUGCUCAUUGGAUUAGUCACAGUUUUCUUACUCUCCAAGUUAAAUUUUUUCACCAGAUUUCCUGCAUAUUUAGAUUGGGAAAUGAACAUGCCGUUGUCAAGUUGCUUAACUUGCAGGCCAAGAAAGAAGGUUAGUUCACCACACAUACUCAUUUCAAAUUCUGUUUCCAUGACUAGUUUAAAUUCAUUUACAAGAGAGUUAGAAGUAGAUCCAAAAACAAUAUCAUCAACAUACACUUGAGCAAUAAUGAUAUCAUGCUUAGUUCUUUUAACAAACAGAGUUUUAUCAAUGGAACCCCUUUCCCCCUUUUCUACCAGAUGAGAGGAUAACCUAUCAUACCAGGCUCUAGGAGCCUGUUUCAGACCAUAGAGAGCCUUCUUGAGUUUGUAGACAUGAUCUAUAUGAGAAGGAUCCUCAAACCCUUGAGGUUGUUUGACAUAGACUUCCUCAUUUAAGUACCCAUUCAAAAAGGCUGUUUUAACAUCCAUUUGAAAUAAUUUAAACUUUAGAAAGCAAGCAACAACAAGUAACAAACGAACAUAUUCUAAUCUGGCAACAGGAGCAAAAGUCUCACCAAAAUCAAGGGAUCCCUUGAUUUGUGAAUAUCCUUAUUGAGCUACUAACCUAGCUUUGUUUCUUAUUACAUUACCUUUCUCAUCACUUUUGUUCCUAAAAAUCCACUUAGUCCCUAUGACAUUGCAAUUUUCUGGUCUAGGAACUAAAUCCCAAACAUCAUUAUGAGUAAAUUGAUUUAAUUCCUCAUGCAUUGCACUAAUCCAAUUAGAAUCUGUCAAAGCUUCUUUAACAUUUUUUGGCUCAAUAAGAGAAACAAAACCAACACAGGAUAUCACAUUUAUAUCAAUUUUUCGUUCUUCAACAAAACAUAAAAGAACCUGUUCUUGGAGUUUUUCUGGAUCGGUUUUGGUAGGAAUAUCUCUUUCAUCUUGUGGAACUGACGCUGCUGCAAUCUGUCUCCUAGUUUUGAUCCCUUCUUGCACUUUGCCAAUGACAUCAUGAGGAGAGUGAUCCUUUUGGACUUGUUUGAAACCAGUUCGAAACUUAGGAUUCGAAGCAAAGAUGCCAUCAUCAUCAUCCUGUGUUUCAGACUCACCCUUGCUUUUCGUUGCAUCAAAAGUGACUUUAGAGACAUCACCUGCACAUUUUUGCUGAGCAUAGAGAUUAUCAUUUAUUGUAACAUUUAUAGAUUCCAUCAUAGAUUUUGAUCUAGUGUUAUAAACUCGAUAGGCACGACUAUUAGAUGAGUAACCUAAAAAUACUCCUUCGUCACUUCGCGCUUCAAACUUACCAAGAUACUCCCUGUCGCGAAGAAUAUAACAAGGACUGCCAAAGAUGUGAAAAUAAGAAACAGCCGGUUUCUUUCCUUUCCAUAUCUCAUAGGGAGUCUUAUCAGUACCUGGACGCAGAAAUAUUCGAUUCAUAGUAUAACAAGCAGUAUUCACUGCCUCAGCCCAAAUACACAGAUUCAAUCUUGCAGCAUGUAUCAUAACUCCUGCCAUUUCAACUAAAACACGAUUUUUUCUUUCAACUAUACCGUUUUGUUGAGGUGUAAAUUGGUGAGGAAAACUCAUGAAAAAUCCCAAAUUCAUGACAGAAAUUUGAAAACGCAUUGUUUUUAAAUUCUGUUCCAUUAUCGGAUCUAAUUCUUGAAAUCUUCAAGUUUUGAGAGUGUUUUUCAUUCAACAUUUUUAAACUAAGUUAUUUGAAAAAUUCGAAAGUUUCUGAUUUUUCUUUUAAGAACUCAACCCAAGUAAAUCUUGAGUAAUCAUCAACUAUAACCAAAACAUAAAACUUACCUCCAAGACUCUCUGUUUGAGCUGGUCCCAUAAGAUCCAUAUGAAGUAGUUCCAAUACCUGUUUCGCAGUUGCUGCAUUCACAGCCUUAUGAGGAACCUUGGUUUGCUUGCCAAUCUUGCAUUCUCCAUAUAUCUUCUCGAUUUGACCAGUUAGUUUUGGCAAUCCACGCACACAUCCUUUUAUUGACAGUUUCUACAAAUCCUGGUAAUUUAUGUGACCAAGUUUCUUAUGCCAAAGCUCCAUCUCUUGAUCUACAUGUCUUACUACAAAACAGUUUUUCGUAAACAAAGAAUCAAUAGACACAUUAUGGUAACAGUUAUCAUCUUCUCUAUUUCCUUGCAUGACUAUAUCCUUGAUUAUUCAAAACUACACAUUUUUCCCGAUUAAACCAAACGUCUUGGUACUCAUCAGUGAGUUGGCUAACACUGAUUAACUUAGCAGCCAACCCCACAACAUACAGAACAUUUUUUAGCUCAGGCAUCCCUUUAGCACCCACAGUUCCUCUUGCAAGUAUCUCAGCUUUCUUGCCAUCUCUAAAUGUAACUUUACCUGUUGUAUUUUCAUCAUCAAAGGAUAUGAACCAAUCCUUGUUUCCUGUCAUAUGUCUAGAACACCCGCUGUCAAAAUACCAAGUGUCUUUACGUUUAUAAGCAAGUGCGGUAAAGGCUACUAGACAAGUUGCAGAAAUAUCAUUGUUCUUUUUCCAAAGUUGUGACUUAUCACUCUUAGAUUGAUUUCUUUCAAAGAUUGUUUUGGAAAUAUCAUAUAUCAUUUGCAUUUGAAGUUUUAAAUUUCUUUCUAAAGACUCAAUAGAACAACCUGAUUUGUUUUCAAAGACUACUUGUUUCUUUCUACAAUUUGGUCUAAUGUGACCGAUUUGACCACAGUAGUGACAUCGAGGAAUAAACGUUUGCACAGUAUCAUACCUUGUCACAUCCCGACCAGUAAAUUUUUACCUUAUUUACUAGCUUGGUUAUAAUAAGAAUUUUACCGUCUCCGUCAUUGAAGUUAUAGUUUAAUUGGUCCCUAGAGGGGUUUCGGGGACGGUUAUGCUCGGAGGAUUAUUCGUAGGAGGAAAAUAUGACGACGGUAAAAAUGGUAAAUUUUAGCUAGUAAAAGGUAAUUUUUAUUCGGGUAUUAUUUUUCGGGGUGUUUUAUUUUUGGAGUUGGGUUUGUUUUAAAUGGGUAUUAAGUUGGACCGGUUUUGGGGGAGGAGGCCCAAAGCCAUUUUCUCCCUUCUCUUUUUUUUUCUUCCCGGUUUUCUCUCUCCCCGAGCUCCUCCCGCUGCCCGGUUUUCCGGCCGUCCUCCCGCCGCCGUCCGGCCACCAACCGCCGCCGCACCGGUCCCGUUCGGUCGACCUCCAACCCAGCAACCUCCCUGGACCGGUGAAAGGAGCCCUAGCUCCGCCGUGAGAGAGCGGUGCCACCCGAAAGGUCCGACUGUCCAAAGCUUCACUUCGCCAGAACUCCCUCCUCCGGCCACCAAUCCGGGCAAGCUUGGUACAGUUUUGAAGGUCUCCAACCCAGAUACCUUGCCCUAAAAGGGCUCACUCCGGUUCGCUUCAGGUAAGGAGAAAUUAGAGGUGGAAGUUCUAGGGUGUUUUAGAUUUUUUGCUCGUUUGACCUAGUUAGGCUUGGAUUUUGGGUUUGUGCUAGUUAGGAAAGUUGUAGAGCAUGAUGAGAGGAAGAUGCUGUCAAAAUUUCAUAGGAAUCGGAGGUCGCCAGAAUUGGCCUUCGGCCGCUGCUGCCGGCGGAGCCGCCGCCGGCGCCGCCACUGUUUGGAAGAUUUUUAGGGUUUUAAAUUUAGAAUAUUAAGGGGAGUUUGUUGAAGUGAGUUAUGGAAUUUUUGGAUGAGUUUUGGAUAGGUUUAUGAAUUUCCGAAGUGUGGUAUUUUUGGCGAUUAAUUAAUGUAGAAUCCGGCCGUAGGAUUUAAGUCGUAUUUUUGGGGAGCUUGUAAUUACGGCUGCUGAGUAUGAUAUUUAAGUUCGGAUCGUUUCGAUUUAAGAAUAUCGAAGUUAGGCAAUGAUGAGCGUAGUUAUGGCUCUCGGUUAAUUUUGCCUAUUUUGUUUAAAUAUUGGAGUUUUAGUUGGGAAAUUAAUUUUAUAUUUGUGCCAGGGUUCGAGGAAACCUCUCUGAAGUGGCGAUUUAGAUUUCGUCGGGCUUAUGCCUAGAGUUGUGAGUGGACUUUUGUUUUAAAUAAUAUGCAUGCUAUGGUUCAUGAAUAAACAAUUAAUGUCAUGGAGCAAUUUGACGUCAUUUUAAUUUUUGACAAUCUUAUUUCUCUUGGAGAGUUACCGAAAAUGGGAUUUUCGGUGGAUAUAAAUAUGUAUUUAUGAGAGAGAGUAUGUAUAUAAAAUGCUAGCUAGCCAUAUGUGUCUGUCCACCUUAAUGGCGUAGCAUAUAGCCGCAUUAUGGUGUGACGUGAGCGUUGGACGGGAGCGUAGUAGCCCUAUUUGAGUGUUUAAUUCAUAUAGGGGGUAUGGACACAUAUUUAUACACCCGUCUGUCCACCUUGAUGGCGUAGUGUAGCACCGCAUUAAGGCGUGACGUGAGCGUUGGACGCGAGCGUAGGAGCCCUAUAUAGACCCAUGAAUUUAUAUAGGGAGUAUGGACGAGUGUAAAUACAUACAUAUAUUAUAGAGUCUGAGAGGCUCGAUAUUUUAUGAGAUAAAAGUUUUAUCGCUUGCGGCAUGCAUUCGAUUUUUCCUUAAAAAUUAAUUUGGAGAAACAUAAAUACUUAAUUUAUUAUUUUAUUUUUGUCCACUUACUCUAACGUUAUUAAAUGUUUUCCCCUGGGCUCUUCGUUUUAAAAUUGCCCAGUCUGCAGAGUUCGGGUUGGAUCUAGUAGGAGGCGAGGCAUAGUCACCCGCAUUUCUGCCAGUUUUCGUCAGUAGGUUACCUGUUCAACCUACUCGUGUUUUCUUGCUUCUGCUAGUGUUUAGUAGCUCUGAAUACUUUGGGAUUAUUGUAUAUUAUGUGUAGAAUUUCUGAAGGAUAAUUAUGUGAUGUUUGGACGUGUGGUAUUAAGAGUGUAAUUUGGAAUUUUCGAGUUAGGGUUAUCCAUCUGCAAGGGAGAUUUUCUCAAUCUUUUCAGUAAAUUUUCCUUGGAGGUGGUCCCCGCAUGACUUACUUCGGGUUUCAGGGUGAAAUUCGGGGUGGGUCGUGUCAUACCUUGACAUGCUUACCUGGUUUGAAGUCUUCUCUUCAUCAUUUUUGUUAGGUUGAGAACUUAUGAUCGUAGACUCACCACCUUCAAUCCCUCCUUCUUCAUCGACUGCUUUGACAAACUUGGUUUUAUGCAUAUUUGGACGUGCAUCAGAAUAUCCAAGACUGGUUUUGUCGUUAAAUUUCUUAGAGAAGGACAACAUAAGUGAGGCUUUCUCAUAACUUAGCUUGAACUGUUCAAACUUGUUUAAAGCAACCUUCAGUUCUUCCUAUAACAGAGAGAUUUCGUUAUUCAAAUUUGAAUUUAACUCUUUUAAAGAAGUUACCUCAUCAGUCAACAAAAUUCGGUCUGAUUCCCAGGUUUCUUCACUUCCAAGAUUCUGCAGUUUUUCGACUUCCUUAAUCAGUUUUUCUCUUUCUCCAUCCCAAGUCUUAUGAGCAAUUUCAAACUGAUCUUCUAGCUCGGUCUUCUUCAUUUUAAUUUUGUUUAGCUUGGCUUCCAGAUUUUUAUUUUUCUUUAACAUAGCCUUUGAUGCUUUGUACAUAUGUGAGCAGCGAUACUCCAUC
Molecule: long non-coding RNA, 10758 nt
Filed under: Fragaria vesca (wild strawberry)
Lineage: Eukaryota; Viridiplantae; Streptophyta; Magnoliopsida; Rosales; Rosaceae
Description: long non-coding RNA (FVES_LNC002690)
Source: RNAcentral